CUCGAAGGUCGGAUGAUCGCUUUUAAAAUUUUAAAAGAGGAAAGUCCGGGCUCCACGGAAAGAGGAUGCUGGAUAACGUCCAGCGAGGGUAACCUUAGGGAAAGUGCCACAGAAAAUAUACCGCCAGCUAAGCUGGUAAGGGUGAAAUGGUGCGGUAAGAGCGCACCGCGCUUUUGGUGACAAAGGCGGCAGGGUAAACCCCAUCCGGAGCAAGACCAAAUAGGGACGAUACUUAGGACAACCUAAAGGCGCCUUUCCGCGUUAUCGUCCGGGUAGGUCGCGUGAAGCUUUUGGUAACAAAAGUUCCAGAUGAAUGAUCAUCCCUGGUAAUCCCAGGACAGAACCCGGCUUAUAGACCUUCGAGCUUU
Molecule: RNase P RNA, 368 nt
Filed under: Caedibacter sp. 37-49
Lineage: Bacteria; Pseudomonadati; Pseudomonadota; Gammaproteobacteria; Thiotrichales; Fastidiosibacteraceae
Description: RNase P RNA component class A
Rfam family: Bacterial RNase P class A
About the family: Ribonuclease P (RNase P) is a ubiquitous endoribonuclease, found in archaea, bacteria and eukarya as well as chloroplasts and mitochondria. Its best characterised activity is the generation of mature 5'-ends of tRNAs by cleaving the 5'-leader elements of precursor-tRNAs.
Source: RNAcentral